GGAAUAACCCACCACUUCCCUCCCUACAGGAAGAAUCUCGCAGUGCCUAUGACUGCUUAACUCUACAGUUACUAUGAGUGGACUCAUUAUAAACAAGGAUCUUGAGGGAAGUGAAGUCGCUGUGCGUCCAGCCCCUAACGGCACCAAGCAUAGAACAUGUUCAAUACUGACCGCAGAGGGGGAAGCAAGUGGGGGUGCCAUGUACAGAAGUAAUGUAGAAAAGAGCAGUAAGAGAAGAAGAUGAAAGCAGACUGUAAAAGGGUUGCAAAGGUCCUAAGCAGUCGCUAGUGGAGGUUUGCAGUUUUGCCCUGGGUUUCUUAGCAACCAGAGCAAAAAAAGAAACACAAUCAGUUGUAGCAUUCACUGUGCCCAUAAGAUAAAAACAGAGCAGUUGCUCAGAAGAACGCUUCCCUCAGUCUUAAGGGAACAUUCCUACAGUAAAUGUGGGCUCAUGUUCCAGACAGCUGGUGUUCAGUACAUCCUCAGGCAGGUGAGCAAACAGAGUUUGGAGAUUUAAACCCUUGUGGGAGUUCAUCUACACUAAACAGAACAGCAGAGCACCAGUGCUUAGAGGCUUCCUACCACCGGCUUGUGGCUGACUGGACAGUGGUGCCAGAUCAAGGGACAGGAGUGUCAUCAAGUGACUCCGUCUGUAAACACAAUGGCUAGCGUGCUGUACAGUUCUGUCUUGUUCUGUUGUGGCUAUUGAGACCACAGGCGAAGCUGAUAGCCUGACUGCCUUCCCACUUCAUAUCUAGAAUUUUGGCUGAACUUAAAUCUGUUUACAUGUAUUUGUUGUAUGUGCGUGUGCGUGAUGUAUCUCUUGCAUGAAGUCAUAGGUCUGAGGGCAACUUCAGAGUUAGCUCUCUUCUUCUAACAUUUGGAUUCUGGGGAUCAAACUCAUGUCGUCAGGCUGAAGGAAAAGUACCUUUGCUUACUGAGCCAUCCUUAUAUUGUGCGCCAGUUGACUUUUGUCAAUUUGACACAAACCUAGACAUAUCUGGGAAGAGGAACCUCCAUUGAGAAAAUGCCUCCCUCCAUCAGAUUGCCUAUAGGCAAGUCUGUCUGGCGGGGGUUUUAUUACUAAUUGGUGUGAGAGGAUUCAGCUCUCUGUGGGUGAUGCCACCUCUGAUUAGUUUGUUCUGCAUGGUUUAAGAAAGUAGGCCAAGCAAGCCAUAAGUGAAUACACCAAUAACCAGCAUUCAAGAUGCUGUGAAAAAUUAUAAAACGCGUGCUACAAAGCCCAAAGGCAGUUGCAGACCACAAGGUCAAACUUCAUGCCCAAGGAGGUCAACACAGAACGGAAAAAGACUCAGAGGCCUUGACAGAUCACCAGCCAGCAGCCCUAGAGCUACACUCAGGGGUGGAUGACAGAGCCAGACAAUGCCAGCUUGGGGCGCAUGAGGCAUGGGAGGAGAUGAAGAUGCUUAGACAGGAAGGAAGAGGAAACAUGAAAGGAAGCUGAGGCAGGGUUGAGGAAACUUCCCAUGAUGGGCAAUGGCCAUAUACUUAUAGAUAUCUGGAAGAAAGAACUAUGGGAUAGGCAUGUUAAUGUCACCAGAAGGAGCAUGCAUAGAGUAGUUCUGGAUGGUGGGAUGAAUUCAAGUGCAAAGACAGGAAAAUUAGUCUUGAAAAGAAAGCGGAUUUCUGCAGCUGGCAGGCAAGGGUC
RNAcentral lists this long non-coding RNA (1669 nucleotides) under Mus spicilegus (steppe mouse). RNAcentral's name for it is "lncRNA (ENSMSIG00000003613.1)". The record is from RNAcentral. Lineage: Eukaryota; Metazoa; Chordata; Mammalia; Rodentia; Muridae.